ACAAACUCUUUGUUUCUAGAGAAUAAGGAAGAUGCAUCAUGCCUGUCAUUGGUUCUUUUCGGAUGGGGAGAUGUGGUUUGACAUACCCCUUCUGCCUUGGUACUUGAGCAAAGCCUUUGGUGGUGUGCUCUGUGAAAGGGAUACUCUAAAUGGAGAGUCAGCUGAAUAGAUACCUCUCAUGACACAUGGAUGGUCAACAUGAAGUUGCUUUUUACAAAGAUAGUUGGAAUUGCCUUCAAACAAACAAGCAGCCAGGAUCAGCUGACACGAUCUUUCAGGCAUUAUGUGGAUACUAUUCAUGGCACAUUCACACUUUGUGCAGAUUUGGAAAUUCCUGUCACCAUCUUGUACGGUCCUCAAGUCCCUGUGUUCGAGGGCAUGAAAGAAAAAAGAGGUCAAGGAUUUGUUGGGGUUGGAGGCCACAUGACACAUCUUCUAUCGGUUGUAUGCCUAAUUAUGCAACUAAAGCGAUCCCUUCUUCAGGCACUUGGGAAGAAAAGGACUGGGGUGCCGCCGUUCCGUCAAAGCCCCUCUGCUGCACACUCCGAGCUGGUGCAUUUUGGAUGCUUGCAGACAGGAGGGAAGGACCAGCUUUACCAUCUGGAGGGAGUUUGCGGUCAGACACGCCUGUGCCGAGUUCUUCUGCUAAAACAGAAUCCCUAACUGGAGAGGCGCCCCAAAUCUUCACGGGGGAAGAUGAGCUGGAUUUCUGCAGGAGCGAGCUCCUCAUCAUCGGGGUUGCCUUGGCACAAGCUUGGUUGCCUGCUGACUUCAAGUGCAAAGGCAGACGCUCCGAACACCAAGAGAAUUUUAAAAGAACAACUGGAGUGGCAUUGUUCUGCAUUUGGACAUCCUCAGACUGA
Molecule: long non-coding RNA, 863 nt
Filed under: Crocodylus porosus (Australian saltwater crocodile)
Lineage: Eukaryota; Metazoa; Chordata; Crocodylia; Crocodylidae
Description: lncRNA (ENSCPRG00005000955.1)
Source: RNAcentral